AGUGGUUUGGCCGAGUGGUUAAGGCGGUAGACUUAAGAUCUAUUCGAAGUUUCGAUCGUGGGUUCGAACCCCACAAUCACUA
Molecule: transfer RNA, 82 nt
Filed under: Zancudomyces culisetae
Lineage: Eukaryota; Fungi; Kickxellomycota; Harpellomycetes; Harpellales; Legeriomycetaceae
Rfam family: tRNA
About the family: Transfer RNA (tRNA) molecules are approximately 80 nucleotides in length. Their secondary structure includes four short double-helical elements and three loops (D, anti-codon, and T loops).
Source: Rfam by way of RNAcentral